This 870-nucleotide ribosomal RNA is filed under the name Eichleriella alliciens. RNAcentral describes it as "eukaryotic LSU rRNA". It matches the Rfam family "Eukaryotic large subunit ribosomal RNA", at positions 78 to 938 of the family's 3401-position model. The record is from RNAcentral. Lineage: Eukaryota; Fungi; Basidiomycota; Agaricomycetes; Auriculariales; Exidiaceae.
CCCUAGUAACGGCGAGUGAAGAGGGAAGAGCUCAAAUUUAAAAUCUGGCGGUCUACGGCCGUCCGAGUUGUAAUCUAGAGAGGUGUUUUCCGUGCCGGACCGUGUACAAGUCCCUUGGAACAGGGCGUCAUAGAGGGUGAGAAUCCCGUCCAUGACACGGACUACCGGUGCUCUGUGAUACACCUUCGAAGAGUCGAGUUGUUUGGGAAUGCAGCUCAAAAUGGGUGGUAAAUUCCAUCUAAAGCUAAAUACAGGCGAGAGACCGAUAGCGAACAAGUACCGUGAGGGAAAGAUGAAAAGAACUUUGGAAAGAGAGUUAAACAGUACGUGAAAUUGUUGAAAGGGAAACGCUUGAAGUCAGUCGCGUCCGCAGGGACUCAGCCUUGCUUUUGCUUGGUGUACUUCUCUGUGGAUGGGCCAGCAUCGAUUUUAGUCGCCGGAAAAGGGCGAGAGGAAUGUGGCAGCUUGCUGUGUUAUAGCCUCUCGUCGUACACGGUGACCGGGAUCGAGGACUGCAGCACGCCUUAUGGUCGGGGUUCGCCCACGCCACGUGCUUAGGAUGCUGGCGUAAUGGCUUUAAACGACCCGUCUUGAAACACGGACCAAGGAGUCUAACAUGCCUGCGAGUGUUUGGGUGUAAAACCCAGGCGCGUAAUGAAAGUGAAAAGUUGGGACUCUUUAGUGAGGCACCGACGCCCGAUCCUGACGUUCUCUGACGGAUUUGAGGCAGAGCAUGUAUGUUGGGACCCGAAAGAUGGUGAACUAUGCCUGAAUAGGGCGAAGCCAGAGGAAACUCUGGUGGAGGCUCGUAGCGAUUCUGACGUGCAAAUCGAUCGUCAAAUUUGGGUAUAGGGGCGAAAGACUAAUCGA